Molecule: ribosomal RNA, 1521 nt
Filed under: uncultured bacterium
Lineage: Bacteria
Description: bacterial SSU rRNA
Rfam family: Bacterial small subunit ribosomal RNA
Source: RNAcentral
AGAGUUUGAUCCUGGCUCAGGACGAACGCUGGCGGCGUGCUUAACACAUGCAAGUCUAGGAGAACGAUUCCUUCGGGAAUUUAUUAAACUGGCGAACGGGUGAGUAACGCGUAGGUAAUUUGCCUUGCAGAUAGGGACAACGUUUGGAAACGAACGCUAAUACCUAAUAAUGUUAAAAAUCUUAUGUUUUUUUAACCAAAGGGGGCUUCGGCUCUCACUGUAAGAUAAGCCUGCGUCUGAUUAGCUAGAUGGUAAGGUAACGGCUUACCAUGGCUACGAUCAGUAGCUGGUCUGAGAGGAUGAUCAGCCACACUGGGACUGAGAUACGGCCCAGACUCUUACGGGAGGCAGCAGUGGGGAAUUUUGCGCAAUGGGCGAAAGCUUGACGCAGCGACGCCGCGUGAUCGAAGAAGCUCUUAGGAGUGUAAAGAUCUGUCAUAAGGGAAGAAUAAUUAAUAUUCUAACACAAUAUUAGUCUGACGGUACCUUAUAAGAAAGCUCCGGCUAACUUCGUGCCAGCAGCCGCGGUAAUACGAGGGGAGCAAGCGUUGUUCGGAUUUAUUGGGCGUAAAGGGCUCGUAGGCGGAUUGAUAAGUCAAAAUUUAAAUCCAAUGGCUUAACCAUUGACCUGGUUUUGAUACUGUCAGUCUUGAGUUAUAUAGAGGUAAGCGGAAUUCCUGGUGUAGCGGUGAAAUGCGUAGAUAUCAGGAGGAACACCAACGGCGAAGGCAGCUUACUGGGUAUAUACUGACGCUGAGGAGCGAAAGCGUGGGGAGCAAACAGGAUUAGAGACCCUGGUAGUCCACGCCGUAAACGAUGAGCACUUGGUGGUGGAGGUUUCGACCCCUGCACUGCCGGAGUUAACGCGUUAAGUGCUCCGCCUGGGGACUACGACCGCAAGGUUGAAACUCAAAGAAAUUGACGGGGACCCGCACAAGCGGUGGAUUAUGUGGUUUAAUUCGAUGCAACGCGAAGAACCUUACCUGGAUUUGACAUAUUUUUGUAAGCUUUGUGAAAGCAAAGCCUUUUUUAAGCUUGCUUAAAAACAAUUAUACAGGUGAUGCAUGGCUGUCGUCAGCUCGUGUCGUGAGAUGUUCGGUUAAGUCCGAUAACGAGCGCAACCCCUAUCCUUAGUUGCCAGCACGUAAUGGUGGGGACUCUAGGGAAACUGCCCGGGAUAACCGGAAGGAAGGUGGGGUCGAUGUCAAGUCAGUAUGUCCCUUACAUUCAGGGCUACACACGUAAUACAAUGGGAGGUACAAAGAGUCGCAAAAUCGCAAGAUGAAGCUAAUCUCAAAAAACUUCCCCAAGUUCGAAUUGCAGUCUGCAACUCGACUGCAUGAAGUAGGAAUCGCUAGUAAUCGCGCAUCAGCAUGGCGCGGUGAAUACGUUCCCGGGUCUUGUACACACCGCCCGUCACGCCAUGGAAGCUGGUCGCGCCCAAAUACAGUGCCCUAACCUUCGGGAAGGAGCUGUUUGAGGUGAGAUUGGUAACUGGGGCGAAGUCGUAACAAGGUAACC